UUUAAGUUACGUACUGCUGGGUCAUCCUUUCAGAAGACAGAAGAAAUUAUUGCGGCCGAACAUUGUGAAGGCUUUUACUUGGGCUCUUUGGAAUGAAAGAAAGCAAAAAAUCAUUGCUGAAAAGGACCGUAUCUGGAAGAAUGGCUUUGACCAUGUUAUAUUUGUUGCUCCACCUGGGUCUACCGUAAAUGUGCAAACAGCAAUAGGCUAAAGCCAAGUGGAAGUAAGAUCAUCAGAUGAACAUCAACAAGAGAAACUCCUGGUUUAUUAUACCCCAUUAAAUAAUUGGCCAAAAGGCCCAAGGCCAUCCCUAAAUAAACAAUUGGCCAUAGGAAAAAAGAAAACAAGAAGAAGUUCGGUGAUCCUUCCUAAACCAGACUGCAAAUAUUACAUAGUAUAGCGGCGCUGAAAUUAAGAGUUCAUAGCUGCUCACUUCCUAUGCAACACAAAACUCCCAAAAUAAAUAACAA
This is a long non-coding RNA of Cucurbita moschata (crookneck pumpkin), 470 nucleotides long. RefSeq lists it as uncharacterized. The transcript has 3 exons. Lineage: Eukaryota; Viridiplantae; Streptophyta; Magnoliopsida; Cucurbitales; Cucurbitaceae. The record is from RefSeq and is a predicted model, not a curated record.